AACCCGAUUUAUCAAUUUGUAACAGGAAAUUCUAUGCUAUAUCAUGAAGUGACUGACUACAACUGAAACAUGGUAGCAAUCGAUAUCUGGGGACCCAACCUGCGAUUGGAAAACCAUAGUCGCAAUCGCAGAAGCACAGUUCAUUUUUUUUAGAAAGUUUUCUGUAUCCAAAUAGACACACGUUGAAGUCCAUUGAACAUCCAGUAAUAUUUAGCUUACUUUAUAGCUUACUGAGCGUCUAC
Non-coding RNA from Cinara cedri, 242 nucleotides. The record is from the annotation of a GenBank genome assembly. NCBI's taxonomy places the organism in Eukaryota, Metazoa, Arthropoda, Insecta, Hemiptera, Aphididae.